AUGGAAGAAAAUCAGGGACUCGAGAAGGCAAUUGAAAAAUUGGCUGAGCUCCUAACAGCCAAGGUAGGAGCUGCAGCAUCUCCAAAUAAUGCAAUUGUUCCUCACAUUGAGCCAAUUCAGAAAAUUGACUUCAUGCCAAAUGAAAUUAAGCUGGAAGGUGUUAAGAAUUAUUUGAGCUGGUCAAGAAGGGCGCUACUCAUCUUGAGGACUAAAGGGCUUGAGGGCUUUGUCAGUGGUGAGUCAGAGGAGCCAGGAGACAAGAAAACUGCAGAAUGGAGGACAUGGAGCAGUACCAACUCUUUGAUAGUGGCAUGGUUGUUGAACUCCUUGCCUCCAACCAUUGCUGCAACUGUUGAGACUAUCUCAACUGCUACUGAGGUAUGGAAAACCCUCUCAAAACUGUACUCAGGUGAAGGGAAUGUGAUGUUAAUAGCCAAAACAGAGGAGAGAGUUGGUGAACUCAGACAAGGGGAAAAUUCUGUGAUGGAGUAUGUUGCUGAACUGCAGCGUUUGUGGGCUGAUUUAGAUCACCAUGAUCCUCUGGAUUUGCCACAUGCAGAUUGCAUAUCAGCUGCUAGAAAAUGGAUUGAACGCAGAUGA
This 600-nucleotide ribosomal RNA is filed under the name Triticum aestivum (bread wheat). RNAcentral describes it as "partial small subunit ribosomal RNA". Lineage: Eukaryota; Viridiplantae; Streptophyta; Magnoliopsida; Poales; Poaceae. The record is from RNAcentral.